This 362-nucleotide ribosomal RNA is filed under the name uncultured bacterium. RNAcentral describes it as "bacterial SSU rRNA". It matches the Rfam family "Bacterial small subunit ribosomal RNA", at positions 29 to 419 of the family's 1533-position model. The record is from RNAcentral.
AGCGAACGCUGGCGGCAGGCCUAACACAUGCAAGUCGAGCGGCCGUAGCAAUACGGCAGCGGCAGACGGGAUAGUAACACGUGGGAACGCGCCCUUCGGUUCGGAAUAACUCAGGGAAACUUGAGCUAAUACCGGAUACGCCUUACGGGAAGAUUUAUUGCCGAAGGAACGGCCCGCGUCCGAUUAGCUAGUUGGUGAGGUAAUGGCUCACCAAGGCGACGAUCGGUAGCUGGUCNGAGAGGAUGACCAGCAUCACUGGGACUGAGACACGGCCCAGACUCCUACGGGAGGCAGCAGUGGGGAAUAUUGGACAAUGGGCGCAAGCCUGAUCCAGCCAUGCCGCGUGGAUGAUGAAGGCCUUA